This 264-nucleotide signal recognition particle RNA is filed under the name Candidatus Poribacteria bacterium. Its description in RNAcentral is "signal recognition particle sRNA large type". It matches the Rfam family "Bacterial large signal recognition particle RNA". Rfam says of the family: The signal recognition particle (SRP) is a universally conserved ribonucleoprotein involved in the co-translational targeting of proteins to membranes. Archaeal SRP consists of a 7S RNA and homologues of the eukaryotic SRP19 and SRP54 proteins. Lineage: Bacteria; Candidatus Poribacteria. The record is from RNAcentral.
CUAUGCUAGGUGGGGAGGUAGCGGUGCCCUGUAUCUGCAAUCCGCUAAAGCAGGACUGAAUCCCCGGAUGCGGCCUGUUUCUGUGGGGACUGUCCCACGCACGUAGUGUUGAUGGUUGGGUCUUGAGCAACGUGCGCUUAUUGAACCCCGUCAGGUCCGGAAGGAAGCAGCGGUAGAUGAGUUGCUCGUGUGACGCAAGGGUGCCUAACCUGAGCUAACGACGUGGGCAACGCCUGGAGAAGUUUGUCAACCCUGGGUGCAUAG